RNAcentral lists this ribosomal RNA (472 nucleotides) under uncultured bacterium. RNAcentral describes it as "partial 16S ribosomal RNA". It matches the Rfam family "Bacterial small subunit ribosomal RNA", at positions 30 to 507 of the family's 1533-position model. The record is from RNAcentral.
AGUGAACGCUGGCGGUAGGCCUAACACAUGCAAGUCGAACGGCAGCACAGUAAGAGCUUGCUCUUACGGGUGGCGAGUGGCGGACGGGUGAGGAAUACAUCGGAAUCUACUUUUUCGUGGGGGAUAACGUAGGGAAACUUACGCUAAUACCGCAUACGACCUACGGGUGAAAGCAGGGGAUCUUCUGACCUUGCGCGUUUGAAUGGGCCGAUGUCGGAUUAGCUAGUUGGCGGGGUAGAGGCCCACCAAGGCGACGAUCGGUAGCCGGCCUGAGAGGAUGGCCGGCCACAGUGGGCCUGAGGGGCGGCCCAGAGUGCAAUGGGGGGCAGGGGGGGGGAAUAUUGCACAAUGGGCGGAAGGGUGAAGAAGCAACGCCGGGUGCGGGAUGCCUGUUUUCGGGGAGAAAAACGCUUUAGCCUGUGACGCAGCGUUAGUGACGGUAAUGGGAAAAGAAGCACGGGCUAACUACGUG